RNAcentral lists this non-coding RNA (142 nucleotides) under uncultured Mallomonas. Lineage: Eukaryota; Synurophyceae; Synurales; Mallomonadaceae. The record is from RNAcentral.
GAAUAUACUGAUUCAGAAAGAUUGUGAGAAAGAGGAAAAAGAAGAGAGAGAAAGAGAGAGACUGUUAAACGAUUCUUCUUCGGCUGUUAUUCCCUCUCUCUCUCCUUCUUCCUCUCAUCCUCACACUCUCUCUACUUCUACU